This 894-nucleotide ribosomal RNA is filed under the name uncultured bacterium. RNAcentral describes it as "bacterial SSU rRNA". It matches the Rfam family "Bacterial small subunit ribosomal RNA", at positions 28 to 896 of the family's 1533-position model. The record is from RNAcentral.
GACGAACGCUGACGGUGUACUUAAUACAUGCAAGUCGAACGUGCAAUGCAGAGGUGGCAACACUUUUGCAAAGCAAGUGGCGAACGGGUGAGUAACGCGUGGGUAAUCUGCCUUGGAGAUUGGGAUAACCUUUCGAAAGAAAGGCUAAUACCAAAUAUUCUAUAUUUUUGUAUGGAAAUAUAGGAAAAGUAGCCGCAAGGCCUCUGCUCUGAGAUGAGCCCGCGUCCUAUUAGCUAGUUGGUAAGGUAAUGGCUUACCAAGGCUUUGAUGGGUAGCCGGCCUGAGAGGGUGACCGGCCACACUGGGACUGAGAUACGGCCCAGACUCCUACGGGAGGCAGCAGUAGGGAAUAUUGCGCAAUGGGCGAAAGCCUGACGCAGUGACACCGUGUGAAGGAUGAAGAUCUUCGGAUUGUAAACUUCUGUCAAUUGAGGACGAAGGUGGUAGAGUUAAUAGCUCAAACACUGACGGUACUUAAUAAGGAAGUCUCGGCUAACUCCGUGCCAGCAGCCGCGGUAAUACGGGGGAGGCAAGCGUUGUCCGGAAUUAUUGGGCGUAAAGAGCGCGUAAGCGGUUUUUUAAGUCGUAUGUGAAAACUUCAGGCUUAACUUGAAGAUUGCAUGCGAAACUGGAAAACUUGAGUACAGUAGGGGAAAGUGGAAUUCCUGGUGUAGCGGUGAAAUGCGCAGAUAUCAGGAAGAACACCGAUAGCGAAGGCAGCUUUCUGGGCUGUUACUGACGCUGAGGCGCGAAAGCUAGGGGAGCAAACAGGAUUAGAUACCCUGGUAGUCCUAGCUGUAAACGAUGGGCACUAGGUGUGGGAAGUUAUCGACGCUUUCCGUGCCGGAGUUAACGCAUUAAGUGUCCCGCCUGGGGAGUACGGCCGCAAGGCUA